AACGAACGCUGGCGGCAGGCCUAACACAUGCAAGUCGAGCGCGACCUUCGGGUGAGCGGCGGACGGGUUAGUAACGCGUGGGAACGUGCCCUUCUCUACGGAAUAGCCUCUGGAAACGGAGAGUAAUACCGUAUACGGCCCUUUGGGGGAAAGAUUUAUCGGAGAAGGAUCGGCCCGCGUUAGAUUAGGUAGUUGGUGGGGUAACGGCCUACCAAGCCUACGAUCUAUAGCUGGUUUUAGAGGAUGAUCAGCAACACUGGGACUGAGACACGGCCCAGACUCCUACGGGAGGCAGCAGUGGGGAAUCUUAGACAAUGGGGGCAACCCUGAUCUAGCCAUGCCGCGUGAGUGAUGAAGGCCUUAGGGUCGUAAAGCUCUUUCGCCUGUGAUGAUAAUGACAGUAGCAGGUAAAGAAACCCCGGCUAACUCCGUG
Molecule: ribosomal RNA, 433 nt
Filed under: uncultured Paracoccaceae bacterium
Lineage: Bacteria; Pseudomonadati; Pseudomonadota; Alphaproteobacteria; Rhodobacterales; Paracoccaceae
Description: bacterial SSU rRNA
Rfam family: Bacterial small subunit ribosomal RNA
Source: RNAcentral